This is a non-coding RNA of Paramuricea clavata, 85 nucleotides long. The record is from the annotation of a GenBank genome assembly. Lineage: Eukaryota; Metazoa; Cnidaria; Anthozoa; Malacalcyonacea; Plexauridae.
AUACCCGAAGAUGCGAGUUCAAAUCCCGCUCGAGCCAACGAAUUUUUCGUUGGCUCGACCGGGAUUUGAACUCGCAUCUAUUAAU